RNAcentral lists this ribosomal RNA (451 nucleotides) under uncultured bacterium. RNAcentral's name for it is "partial 16S ribosomal RNA". It matches the Rfam family "Bacterial small subunit ribosomal RNA", at positions 28 to 507 of the family's 1533-position model. The record is from RNAcentral.
AGCGAACGCUGGCGGCAUGCCUAACACAUGCAAGUCGCACGGGGGGGCUUCGGCCUCCCAGUGGCGGACGGGUGAGGAACGCGUAGGGACCUGUCGAGGGGUGGGGGAUAACCGCGGGAAACUGCGGCUAAUACCGCAUGACGCCGCGGCGUGACAGCCGGGGCCAAAGGCGAAAGCCGCCCGCCGAGGGGCCUGCGUCCGAUUAGCUGGUUGGCGGGGUAGCGGCCCACCAAGGCGUCGAUCGGUAGCUGGUCUGAGAGGGUGAUCAGCCACACCGGGACUGAGACACGGCCCGGACUCCUACGGGAGGCAGCGGUGGGGAGUAUUGGGCAAUGGGCGCAAGCCUGAUCCAGCCAUGCCGCGUGGGUGAAGAAGGUCUUCGGAUUGUAAAGCCCUUUCGGCGGGGACGAUGGUGACGGUACCCGCAGAAGAAGCCCCGGCUAACUUCGUG